RNAcentral lists this ribosomal RNA (650 nucleotides) under uncultured marine bacterium. RNAcentral describes it as "bacterial SSU rRNA". It matches the Rfam family "Bacterial small subunit ribosomal RNA", at positions 94 to 778 of the family's 1533-position model. The record is from RNAcentral.
AGUGGCAGACGGGUGAGUAACGCGUGGGAACCUGCCCAGUAGUAGAGAAUAACUUGGGGAAACUUAAGCUAAUACUUUAUACGUCCUUCGGGAGAAAGCUUUAUGCGCUAUUGGAUGGGCCCGCGUUAGAUUAGUUUGUUGGUGAGGUAACGGCUCACCAAGGCGACGAUCUAUAGCUGGUCUGAGAGGAUGAUCAGCCACACUGGGACUGAGACACGGCCCAGACUCCUACGGGAGGCAGCAGUGGGGAAUAUUGGACAAUGGGGGCAACCCUGAUCCAGCGAUGCCGCGUGAGUGAUGAAGGCCCUAGGGUUGUAAAACUCUUUCGUCAGGGAAGAUAAUGACGGUACCUGAAGAAGAAGAUCCGGCUAACUCCGUGCCAGCAGCCGCGGUAAUACGGAGGGGUCUAGCGUUAUUCGGAAUUACUGGGCGUAAAGCGAGCGUAGGCGGAUUUGUAAGUUGGAGGUGAAAUCCCAGAGCUUAACUCUGGAACUGCCUUCAAAACUACAUUUCUUGAGUUUGGUAGAGGAGAGUGGAAUUCCUAGUGUAGAGGUGAAAUUCGUAGAUAUUAGGAGGAACACCAGUGGCGAAGGCGACUCUCUGGGCCAAUACUGACGCUGAGGUUCGAAAGCAUGGGUAGCGAACAGGAU